AUGGCGGAGUUUGGCGGCGCUGAGGCGGCGGCGGAAACCGAUGAUGCGGAGGGUGAGGCGAGCCCCCGGCGUGGGCGUGGAGUAGCGCCGACGACAGAGAUCGGACCGGCAGCAGGCGAGGUAGCUCCGACCAACUACGCAAGCAGGGGCUUAGACAGCAGCGGAGGCAGCAGGUUGAUGUGCUCGAGUCGAUGCGUGCGAGAGAGAGAGAAAGAAGAAAGGGAACGCGAGCUUGCUGUCGAGGCGUGGAUGCAGACGCGGGCCUGGCUCCCGGAUACGCUCGAUUCCUGCGUUCCCCUCAGCCUGGCUGAGAGGGCUCUUUUGCAUGGGUCGGGCCAGGCCGAGGAGGCCACACAGGUAACCAAUCAUGCUGGUUUUGCAUCGCGGGUGCGAGUCACAUGCGAGCCAGUCAUCCAAACGCGCCCAUACGAUUGCGUGUCCCUUGGCUUCGCGAGGGAGAGCGCAAUACGACCUAAUUUCAAGCGCAGGCUAAGCAACGCCAACGCAUCGACAAGAUCGCCAACUUACAGCGGUCCGAUGUCUUAUCCCAACACACCGGCGGCGCUCAAAGCAAGUCUGAAACAACUUCUGAAUGUCCAUUCUGAAGCUUUUUCAGAACGCUACCUCGGUCUACCUACUGCAAUUGGAAGGAUUUCUAGUGGAACGUUUGAGCAUAUUGCUAAUCGUGCCAAGGACGUGCUCUCCACUGGAUUGCAUGGCAUAAACUUGCUACACCAAAAAUCAAAGGGGGGGAUGGGCUUCCGCGACCUCCGACAGUUCAACAUUGCCCUUCUUGGGAAACAUGGCUGGAGGUUCAUGACGAAAUCGGACUCACUUUGCACCAGAGUUAUGAAGGGAAGGUACUUUCCUGAUUGUGAUUUUAUGCAGGACACAAUACCAAAGUCAGCUUCUGCUACUUGGAGGGCGAUCGUUGUGGGUCGUCAAGAUCUUAAUGCGGGCCUUGUUAAGAGAAUCGAUGAUGGCACUACUACCUCGGUGUGGGAGGACCGAUGGCUGCCGUCGACUGUAUCCAUGAAGCCAUUACUCAGACUGCCAAACACGCCGAUCACCAUGAAAGAGCGUGCAGCUCUAGAAGAAGGGCAGAUAGCGGGGCCAUUAGCGAAUGAACAACAGAUGUGGAGUGCCAUAUGGAAGCUCAAAGUAGUUCCCAAGUGCACCGUUCUCAUGCCAGGAGUUUUUAGGAGGAGGCCAGAUUGCUCUUUGACAUUUCCCUGCAACGGCUCCACCCCAGCACUUGGACACGCGACAUACUCUAUGAGCAACGCUUUUAAGAGAAGGAUCGUGCCAUUAUUAUCACGGUCAUGUGGGCUAUCUGGAUGUCUCAUAACAGGAGGACACAUGAUCAAGAUAUCAUCGACCCAGCUACUUCGGUUCGGCGCAUCCAUGAGGACCUGGCGUUGCUGGACAUUCCACGGCAGAGCUUCAUACCACUGUUGGUCCACGUGGCGUCGCCCGCUCUUCAUCGACUUUCCUGGGUGCAUGGUGCAAACCCCACUAGGGGUCACAGAUCCUUUCAUCGCCGAAGUACUCUCUCUUCGGGAGGGCGCCAUCUUUAUCAAGCUUCGAGGAUACACGCACGUGCAACUGGAAACCGACUGUCUAGAGGCGGUAAACCUCUGGAACUCUAGCUACACUAAUCGUUCGGUAGUAGCACCAAUUAUGUCUGAAAUUAGAGAGCUCUCUGCUAGUUUUUUAUCCUUUGAAAAAAAACUUGGAAAAGCGCACUGUGCACUUUGGCCCAACAAGUGCACAGGCUGGCCCGGCCCACCUAAGCCGGCCUUUUUCUUCUUCCUCCUACUACGGGGAUGGCCGAGCACGCCAUGGCCGCACAUGUCGCCGGAUGGCCACGUGCAGGGCAUCCGGUGUCUCCCGGCCGUGGCCAAUGCCUACUUGACCUCGUCGACCCCCCCCCCCCCGGCGAACCCUAGCCUCCACUCACCCUCUCCUUCGCUCGCCCUCCUCUCUCCCGUGCGCAACAGAGUCACCGCCGCCAUGUUCACGCGCACCGCGCCCGUCACUCGCACCGGCCACGCCCCUCGUGCGUUUCCCCCCACCACACUGGCCCGCGCGCUGGUUCGCCUCAGCGCACCUCGUGGCGUCCCGCUACCUGCCGCCGCCCGUCCGCUAUCACUGCUGCUCCCUGGGUUGCCGUUGCCGCUAGCCCGCAUCCCCCCGCGCUCGUGUGCUGCUCAUCUACUAGCUGCUGCUGCAUCUGCUGCCAACCGCGGCCGUGCCAGCCAUGUCUUGCGCCGUCCGUGCCUCUGGCCGCAUCAGCCUGCAGCCGCCCACGGCUGCUGCGGCCGCUACUACUCCGCCGACGCCAUUGCACUUUCCCUGCUACUGCUCGUCACCGCCUCGGCCGCGUCCGUCGGCUGGCUGCGCCCACCAGGGCAGCCACCGCCGGAGCUUCCCGCCGUGGCCGUCGGCCCUUUUCUGAGAGGCCACGGGUGUGCCCGGCCUCUGAGACCGGCCCUCGUUUAG
RNAcentral lists this ribosomal RNA (2502 nucleotides) under Triticum aestivum (bread wheat). RNAcentral's name for it is "partial small subunit ribosomal RNA". Lineage: Eukaryota; Viridiplantae; Streptophyta; Magnoliopsida; Poales; Poaceae. The record is from RNAcentral.